AUAACUCUAUAAUUUUCUCAUUUAUCAUUUUUCAAAGUAAUCAGCCACAAAUGCAUUGGGGUUUAAUCUGUAAAACUCUCGAUUUUCAAAGCACAACGGGAACAGACAGCAGAAAUGACUAAUAUUACUGUAUUACAGACUGACUCACAUAAUGUGUUUUUAUCGCAUCCAUUAUAUCAAUAAACACCUCAUCUUCACAAACUUUAUACUAUUCAUAUCCUAAUUUCAUAAGUAGAUACUCAUACUUGGUAUUUUAGUAGAUGUCUGAAGGUUUAACAGUGAUGUAUAGCAUUUAUGCAUCUGUGGGUGGUUGCUGGAUAAGAUCCCCGUGUGCUUUGUAAUCCUGGAAGCAUAUGUCUUCUGGUUACAUUCUAUUACAGGUGUCUAACUACCUCCAUAUUACAACUGUCACUGUUAUUCUUAUAGGAGUGGCAUGCAGUUAACCCAAAAUCAAAGCCUGUAAUUUGUGGCUGAUGGUGCACUUUGAGAUCAGGCCAAUCUCACUGCUCCAGGCGUCUAUGAGCGAGACUUGAUUAGGCCAAAUUACAUAUGGGAGCUAGUGCUGUAACCACAGCUCUGUUCAGAGUGAAAAAAGCCCUCCGUACAGCCCCUGGAGCUCAGUUUCCGUUCCCAGACAAGGGGGCCUUCAAUUCGCUUCACCCCAGCCACGACGAGGGUACGUGGGCUAGGCGGCCCUCUAUGCAGCCCCUGGAGCUCAGUUUCCGUUCCCAGACAAGGGGGCCUUCGACUUGCCUCACCCCAGCCACAGUGAGGGUACAUGGGCUAGGCCCUCUGUACAGCCCCUUGUCCCAAAUUAUGGAAAAUUCCAGGAAAAACGCAAUCGUACCCCGUUUCUGACUUAGUCAUUUUUUCGACCCAGGGUCUCCACCCUGCCGAGCUAGGCCAAAGAGGGUUUAGAUCUAGUAACAUUUUAUAGAAAAAUUAUACAUAUAUUUUUGCAUCAUGUGUUAUAUGGUAACCUAUAGGUAACCAGUUAAUGGAUCUUUUACUGUAAAAAUCACAAUCUUUUGAAUUUCCAAAAAAAAAAAACAACAACAACAUUAUGUUGACAUUUUUCAUUAUUUUACUUUUAAUGUGUUUUCAAAAAAAAAAAUAAGCACUAUGCUCUUUGUCACUUAAUAUUUUAUUUUGGUGUGUCAAUUGGUUAAAUUACUUGUAGUAUAUGAAAGUAAGUAUAUUUAAAAUAAUUUUUUUGCAUUUUAUUUUACAUUAAUCUCCAGCAGGGUACAACAACCAUUUCGGCUCAAGGCCUUCUUUAGUGCGUUGUGUUGAGUUUUAGUGUAUGUAACAUUUUACAGCUUUUGUUUUUCAUAUAAAAAAUAAUAUAUAAAGGCAUUUUGAAUUUUUCUUUGAAGUUUUAGUGUUUAUACUUCAUUUCUUGUGCUUUAUAUUUUAAAAGGGUAUUGAAUCGUUUGUAAUUGAAGUCAGCUGUGAAGUUUCCCAGUUCUUCUCCUUCUUCAUGAAGUCAAAGAAUCAACCUGAUGAGACCAAUCAUAUCCCAAAAGGGUGUCCUGUCCUUCCAUAUGACAUUGGAUAAGUCCAGGACACAGCUGCGUGUAAAUCCUAUCCACAUCUGAUGUUGCACUGGACUCUACGCAUGCAGAGGUCUCCGUACCCCAACCGCCAGUGCAAGCUUCAUUUCAGGAAUGCAAAUGCCUCGAGCCCUGACAGCCUGUGAUUUAUCUCCUCAUCUAUCCUUGCACACAUCUGCCUUUGCCCUUGUGUCUGCCUGUUGCUUAUUCCACCCUCCCUCCCUCCCUCUCCCAGGAGGCCAGGGACUCCCCUGCCUGCCCUUAGAGUUGGCCCAGGGCAGCGUUACAGCCGUCUCUGACCCAGCCACCCACCACUCCUCACCCGCCGUCCUCCCAGGGUCAGAUGGUGCAGUGGCGGGAUAAGAGGUCUCUUCUCCCGGAGGAGAGUGGCUCUGAACUGCCACAGUGCUGGUGUGAGUCUGUGAGCCGCUGCCACUGCAGCCUGCUAAGUGCUUUACAGUACAGCAUGAAAACACAAGUGACCUAAUAACCACACUCGCUCUCUGUCAACAAGGAUUACGCUCUGCCUGGAGUAAGAGGAGGCUGCUGGCAGGAAGGCAGCACUGUGUGUGCGUACAUGUGCGUGUGUGGACAAACAGAGAUGCAGGUUAGUUCUCCUCCUGACAGAGCUGCAGGAGAGCAUCACACGAGCUGCAGCAGGGCCGUCGAGCCUCCCAACGGAACACUCCCAAAACCCCCUGUCUAAAAGCUUUAAACAACUGCUUACAAUUCCACAGCGUCUACGCUGCUCCUCUCUCAACAGGCAGUGCGAGCAAGGACGUCUGCGGGCUCUCCACUGUUUGUCUCAUCUUCGUGGCCUCUGGCCCCACACGCAAACACACACACACACACACACACAUCUCGAAAAACGAGCCCCCUACACCUCGCGCCACCCCACCCUGUUUUCUCAUUUACUAGUCCACACUUGUGCGCAAGCUGCUGAGAAAUGGACGGCUGGUGUGAGGUCAGGUGUGAUUCAUCACACUGCGUCUGGGCGAAGAGUUGACAUUCGUAAAGGCACUCGCUCUGCUGCCAUUGUAAUUGAGUCUCCUUGUCUUUUCUAGGACACCAGCAAAUAUAACUAUGUCAGGACACCUCACAGCUAUAUAUUACCCAGCUCACUGAGAGAGACAAAGGGCGAGUUAUCAUUUGGGCAGCAGCUAAAGAGAGGGAGGGAGACACAUCUGGACAUCUGUAAGGUGGGGUUUUGAAGGCUGGGGUGCUGCUUUUACAAGAGGGGUCGGUUCAAUAAAUGAAACUCAAAUUUUACGUUGAGAACAUUUUCUGAAGAAUGCUUUUUUUUUAUUUUAUUAUGUUUUUAUAUUUUUAAUAUGGCAUUUUUGAUCAGUAAGUUGUUUCAGAUGUUUUUUUUAUUUUAUUUUUUUAAAUGAUUCUUGUACUUUUUUUAUUUUAUAUAUAUAUAUAUAUAUAUAUAUAUAAAAUAUAUAAUAUAUAAAACAUAAACAUAUAUUUAGUAAUGUAUUCAUGUGUUUCCGAUUUAUUGAUACAAUAUAUUAUAUAAGAUAAUUGAAAAUAUAAAUUAUAGUUACACUACAUUUCUAAAGUUCGGGGUCAUUGUUUAUAUGAAAUUAAUACUUCUUUCAACAUGGAUUCACUGAAGUGGUCUGAAGUGAUAGCCUUUUACUUUUUUUUUUUUUUUUUUUUUGAUAAAACUAUGUAAGGUACUUUACUUUGAGUCAUGUACUUAAUAUCAAUUUGUUGCAAAUACUUUUUUUUUUUUAUGAAAUGUUGUAUGUAUAAUAUUAAGUAAUCUUGAUGAGGCUUUUUAGAUAUGUGCCUUGUUCAUAAGUAGUCCUGCAGUUAGGUUAGCUUUGAAGCUAAAAUCGGCUAAUGAUUUCAUGCCAAUUUUUAUUUUUAUUUUUUUCUUUGUCAAUACUUAAAGUAAUAUACUUUUGUUUUAACUUUUUUAUCCACUCAGUAUUAAGUAAGUUAUUUCGUUAUGGAUUAACUGGGUUUUACAUCUGUAAUUUUGUUGUAAUUCGGAUUAUGUGCUCAAUAUGCCUUAAGAUACUGCUUGUGUACAGCUAAUAAAGUUAUUUGAUAGUUUUCCUUAAUUAUCUGGUUAAAUAAUAACAAACGUCUAUAAACUUAAGGGAAAAAAAGUAGCUUUGUAAGCAUAACAUUACACAAAUGACGGAGUUAGCAGAGACGUUUAUUCUGUGUCAGAGUUUGACAUGAAUUUGGGGAAAGUGCCAUACAGUAAUCGCUUUAGUUACUUUUAUUUAAUUUUACUUUACUUUGACAUCGACAUUGAGCUCAUUUAUGACUCUGAUGCUUCUCUGUUAUGAAUCUUCUCCGUCAGAGGCCGGCAGCACAGAAAAAGGUAAAGAAAACAUGAAAUAUGAACAGAUUAGUGAUGGAAUGCUUUAAUAUCACAAAAGAUGCCAUGACAAAAAUAACAUUAACGUUACAUGUUUGCUUUAUUCGCUGGUUUACUUAAAUUACCCUUGAAUUAUUUACCUAGUAAUCGUCAUUUUUCAUUACGCUAUCUGUAAUGCAACUUCUCAAUGAUUUAAAGUUACUGCUUGCAUACAACGUAAACAUACUUGUCUUUUAUUUAAUUCUGUGUUGAAAUUAUAUGAAAUAUGUCUUUAAACAUUUGGGAAAAAAGGUUUAUCCGAAAGCAUGUACAUAAAAUGACUGAGUUGAAUUUAGCUAAGACAGGUGUUUGGGAAACAUGCCAUGUGUUAAUCUCUACUUCUUUUUCUUUUAAGGAUUUUGACGUCAAAAUUGAGCUCUUAUUUUCACUGGGGCACUACUGAACUGUUAUCAUGUGAGGAGCAAGGAACAAGGCUAAAAUCUUCUCUGUCAGAGGCCAGCUGCACUGUAAAAGGAUCCGGAUGACGAAGAUGCCUUGCAAAUCCAAGAAGAUCCAGUCACUUCCCAUCAAAGAUCCCACACCUCUGAAACGAAAAUUUUUUAAUUUACUAAUUUUUCACUACAGACCCAUAAGACUUUUAUUCAUCUUCAAAACACAAAUUAACAUAUUUUAAAUGAAAUCUGACCGAUUUCUGUCCCUCCUUUGACAGUCCAUGCAAUUAUACCACUUUGAUGCUUUAAAAAGUUCAUAAUCACGCAUUUUUGAAUUCAAAUUUUCAAACGAGCCAUGAUUGCUUUAUAUGAUUAACAGUUUUAAUUUAACAUACUGUAUAUAACGUUGAUCAGUGUACAUAAACAGAAGUACUUGCUUGACACAUGAGAACAUUGGU
Long non-coding RNA from Carassius gibelio (silver crucian carp), 4783 nucleotides. RefSeq lists it as uncharacterized. The record is from RefSeq and is a predicted model, not a curated record. The transcript is spliced from 5 exons. Lineage: Eukaryota; Metazoa; Chordata; Actinopteri; Cypriniformes; Cyprinidae.